This 253-nucleotide ribosomal RNA is filed under the name uncultured bacterium. RNAcentral's name for it is "partial 16S ribosomal RNA". It matches the Rfam family "Bacterial small subunit ribosomal RNA", at positions 524 to 776 of the family's 1533-position model. The record is from RNAcentral.
UACGUAGGGUGCAGGCGUUAAUCGGAAUUACUGGGUUUAAAGGGUACGUAGGCGGCUUAUUAAGUCAGGGGUGAAAGACUAUUGCUUAACAAUGGCAGUGCCUUUGAUACUGAUAGGCUUGAGUACAGCUGAGGCAGAUGGAACGGGUGGUGUAGCGGUGAAAUGCAUAGAUACCAUCCAGAACACCGAUUGCGAAGGCAGUCUGCUCAACUGUAACUGACGCUGAGGCACGAAAGCGUGGGGAUCGAACAGG